UAAAAAUGAUGAAAAUAAUCAGUUCUGCUUCUGAACUAAUGAUUGAUGACAACUUUUUAAACUGAUUU
Small nucleolar RNA from Plasmodium gallinaceum, 68 nucleotides. The record is from RefSeq and is a predicted model, not a curated record. NCBI's taxonomy places the organism in Eukaryota, Apicomplexa, Aconoidasida, Haemosporida, Plasmodiidae.